GGCAUGGGUGGCGCAGCGGUCAGCACUGCUGCCUCGCCAGAAGGUUCUGGGUUCGAGUCCCGGCCGGCCG
This 70-nucleotide transfer RNA is filed under the name Anguilla anguilla (European eel). RNAcentral's name for it is "tRNA-OTHER". The record is from RNAcentral. Lineage: Eukaryota; Metazoa; Chordata; Actinopteri; Anguilliformes; Anguillidae.